RNAcentral lists this ribosomal RNA (457 nucleotides) under uncultured bacterium. RNAcentral describes it as "SSU rRNA". It matches the Rfam family "Bacterial small subunit ribosomal RNA", at positions 26 to 518 of the family's 1533-position model. The record is from RNAcentral.
AGAAUCAACGCUGGCGGCGUGCCUAACACAUGCAAGUCGCACGAGAAAGGGGAGCAAUCCCUGAGUACAGUGGCGCACGGGUGAGUAACACGUGAAUAAUCUACCUCCGAGUGGGGAAUAACUGAGAGAAAUCUUAGCUAAUACCGCAUAACACUUACGAGUCAAAGCAGCAAUGCGCUUGGAGAGGAGUUCGCGGCCGAUUAGUUAGUUGGCGGGGUAAUGGCCCACCAAGACGAUGAUCGGUAUCCGGCCUGAGAGGGCGCACGGACACACUGGAACUGAAACACGGUCCAGACUCCUACGGGAGGCAGCAGUGGGGAAUUUUGCGCAAUGGGGGAAACCCUGACGCAGCAACGCCGCGUGGAGGAUGAAGCCCUUGGGGUGUAAACUCCUUUCGAUCGGGAAGAUAAUGACGGUACCGAUAUAAGAAGCCCGGCUAACUCGCGCCAGCAGCCGC